UAGAGCUGAGUUCAGGCAAGA
This 21-nucleotide ribosomal RNA is filed under the name Viridiella fridericiana. RNAcentral describes it as "partial 28S ribosomal RNA". The record is from RNAcentral. Lineage: Eukaryota; Viridiplantae; Chlorophyta; Trebouxiophyceae; Watanabeales; Watanabeaceae.